UCCGGGCACAGUGGUGUAUGCCUGUAUUCCCAGCAGCUUGGGAAGCUGAGGCAGGAGGAUCACAAGUUCAAAGGCAGCCUUAGCAACUUAGUGAGAUCCUGUCUCAA
This 107-nucleotide small RNA is filed under the name Marmota monax (woodchuck). The record is from RNAcentral. Lineage: Eukaryota; Metazoa; Chordata; Mammalia; Rodentia; Sciuridae.